RNAcentral lists this long non-coding RNA (680 nucleotides) under Dasypus novemcinctus (nine-banded armadillo). Its description in RNAcentral is "lncRNA (ENSDNOG00000052915.1)". Lineage: Eukaryota; Metazoa; Chordata; Mammalia; Cingulata; Dasypodidae. The record is from RNAcentral.
GGAGGGCUCGAGCACGGCUUCCGAGGGCAGCUUUCUCUCCCUCUGGUGGUGGCAGGCCAGGCACAGAGGUGGGUUCUGCAGCCAAAUCCAAUGCCCACAGGCUUUCUUCCAAGAAAGGGUUGGAUCUUCCAUGCAGGUCUUGAGUGCUGUUUAACUGAAAGUUCUCGGGGCCCACUGCGGGACAGAAGUGUCGAUAACCAGCCAUUUCCAGUGGGAUCUCUGGACGGAUUCGGUGAAGCAGCUUGGCUAUGCCACAGCCGGCUUCCCCGCCCUCUCUGUGCAGACUGAGGUGGACUUUGUGCUUAAUUACUAUGCACAUAACCAGAGAGAAGACACACGGAAGCCCAUGUCAUUUUGUUUGGGAAUAAUAGGCAUGAAGCCUGGAAAAUAUCGAUUAGAUCAUCCUGUCCUGCCAAAGCCCGGAGUGAUUUGUGUCCGACCAGUAGGGUUUUCUGCAGCCUGGGACCCGUGUGGGACCCGUGCUCAGCCUCCUGGGAGAUGAGAGCUCCAUGUAUUUCCUUGAGCUCUGCUCUCAUCUUCUGUCUUUCUGCUCAUUCAGUCAUCUGCCUUCCCUCGGGGCAUCGCACCCAGCUCCUGGCCUGAGACCCCGCUCUGUGGCAGGCCUGCCCCGCGCUUGUUCUGGGGUCCAGGCAGUGACAUCAACCGACCCCUGCCCACAG